Molecule: long non-coding RNA, 258 nt
Filed under: Olea europaea subsp. europaea
Lineage: Eukaryota; Viridiplantae; Streptophyta; Magnoliopsida; Lamiales; Oleaceae
Source: RNAcentral
CUAUGAUACACAGAAUCAUCGAGGGCAUUAACCCGAAAACCAUGAAAAUUGUGGUGGUGAGAACUUGAUAACCGGUAUCCAUUGCAAUUCGUACUUUGGAGUUAAAAGAGUUCGAAUCUGUUCAACUUUUCUUAUUUUAGAAUUUUGUAUUUUCAAGAAAUUGCCAAUGUGACUGCUGCUUGUUUUGGCACCUAUACAUCUUCAUUAUGUGAAAUGUUUGUGUGUAGGGGUGGGCAACGGGCUGGACCCGGUCGAUUU